RNAcentral lists this ribosomal RNA (254 nucleotides) under uncultured bacterium. Its description in RNAcentral is "partial 16S ribosomal RNA". It matches the Rfam family "Bacterial small subunit ribosomal RNA", at positions 524 to 776 of the family's 1533-position model. The record is from RNAcentral.
UACGAAGGGGGCUAGCGUUGUUCGGAAUCACUGGGCGUAAAGCGCACGCAGGCGGAUCGUUAAGUCAGGGGUGAAAUGCCGAGGCUCAACCUCGGAACUGCCUUUGAUACUGGCGAUCUUAGAGUCCGGGAGAGGUGAGUGGAACUCCGAGUGUAGAGGUGAAAUUCGUAGAUAUUCGCAAGAACACCAGUGGCGAAGGCGGCUCACUGGCCCGAUACUAACGCUGAGGCACGAAAGCGUGGGGAGCAAACAGG